AAGAAAUCAAGUGGUGCAAUUCAUCCUUCAAGGCAGCAUCAAUGGAAAGGCGCAAUAUGGCAGAUUAGAGGAAGCUCGGCAGAAAUUCUGUACCUCUCGUUCCACUAUUGCUCGGCUGUGGAGGUCUGCAAAACAGCAACAUGAAGAAGGCGAAGUUAUCAACAGUGUAAGUCGAAAGAUUACUACAAAGCGUAGAACUAAAGUUCACCUAGAUUUGAGUAUUCUUUCAA
This 230-nucleotide long non-coding RNA is filed under the name Salvia miltiorrhiza (redroot sage). Its description in RNAcentral is "long non-coding RNA (SMIL_LNC012871)". Lineage: Eukaryota; Viridiplantae; Streptophyta; Magnoliopsida; Lamiales; Lamiaceae. The record is from RNAcentral.